This 253-nucleotide ribosomal RNA is filed under the name uncultured bacterium. RNAcentral describes it as "partial 16S ribosomal RNA". It matches the Rfam family "Bacterial small subunit ribosomal RNA", at positions 524 to 776 of the family's 1533-position model. The record is from RNAcentral.
AACGUAGGUGGCAAGCGUUGUUCGGAAUAACUGGGCGUAAAGGAUGCGUAGGCGGUUAAACAAGUUAUAUGUUAAAUAUAUAGGCUUAACCUGUAGAAAGCAUAUAAAACUGUUUAACUAGAGUGCAGGAGAGGUAAGUGGAAUUCCUAGUGUAGCGGUGAAAUGCGUAGAGAUUAGGAAGAACACCAGUGGCGAAGGCGACUUACUGGACUGUAACUGACGCUGAGGCAUGAGAGCAUGGGGAGCAAACAGG